GGAUUAGAUACCCUGGUAGUCCACGCCGUAAACGAUGAUAACUCGAUGUUGGCAAUACACCGUCAGCGUCCUAGCGAAAGCGUUAAGUUAUCCACCUGGGGAGUACGAUCGCAAGAUUGAAACUCAAAGGAAUUGACGGGGGCCCGCACAAGCGGAGGAGCAUGUGGUUUAAUUCGAUGAUACGCGAGGAACCUUACCUGGGCUCAAACGUAGAGUGAUGGUCUGUGAAAGCAGGCUUCCCUUCGGGGCAGUCUACGAGGUGCUGCAUGGUUGUCGUCAGCUCGUGUCG
This 289-nucleotide ribosomal RNA is filed under the name uncultured bacterium. Its description in RNAcentral is "partial 16S ribosomal RNA". It matches the Rfam family "Bacterial small subunit ribosomal RNA", at positions 775 to 1067 of the family's 1533-position model. The record is from RNAcentral.